GGUGGGCCUUUGGACUCCGGACUAUCCCAGAACUAUGGCACUCACUGUCGGCCCUGAGCAAGACAGAGGCAGGCUGAUGACUGUGUUCCAAGACCCCCAUCUGUCACUCGGGGAUCUACCUGAUCUAGUUAGGAAAGAGGACCACACUCGGAGGUGGUCUCCACUUCCCCCUUACAAUCCUCAUACCGUGAAUCAGGCCUCCCUCCAAGCAGCCACAGGAUUCCAUCAGCACCCAGCGCUCCACGAGUGCGAUCCUCAGCUCCCUCAGCGGCCCUGAGUCACGCUGGGACACACGGACAGCUUAAGCCGCACAGACCGAACCCAGUCCUGCCCCUAAAAGAAUCCCCAAAAUGGAAGGAGACGGGGACAGGUGCCUUUUUCAGACUUCUAAUGGUGCAAGGAAUACUUGGGCCAGUGUCAGAAGACCUUAGUAAGUUUGCAGAUGGGUUUCAAAGCUUGGAAGAUGAAAAACAAUCCUAUAAUUGGUUGGGAGCUACACAGACAAGCGAUGUGGCUUACAAAGGGAAGGGAACACCCUGGACGGCCGCCUCCCUUCGACAGAGCCAAACUGGGACUGCAGUACUCAACGUGGACUAGAAAUGGUACCUAGCAUGCUGGCUGCUCUUAGCAGAGGGAUGAAAAGCUGCAUUAAAAAGUCUUUUAAUUAGGGCAAAGUGAGGGGUCUUACAAGGCACAGAAGAAAAUCCAGCUUUGUCUCCUACUGCCUAGCAGAGGCCUCCACGAGUGCACUAACACAGACCCACCUUCCGGAGGGAAGGGCCCUGAGGAACGACAGCUUGCCUGUAGUCAGCCCCAAAUACCCGGCAUAAAAACCUCAGAGGGGCCACGACGCCUCGGACCCACUGCUGGACGCCCCUUUUCUGUGUUCAACAGUUGGGUCUCGAAGGAGAGAUGGGACCAAAAGCUACGGUUACAGCUGCUGCAAUGGACAAUGCUUACAAACCACCCAGGCUGUCUGAGGGAGAACUCAGGGACAAUCAAAGCAAAGAUUCCUGUUUCAGGUGCCAAGGAGCUGGCCACUGGGCCCUGUUGUGAAUGUGAGGCAGCAAUACGCCUGGCCCUUGAAACUGGAGGUGGGGCUGUCCCCUGCUCCAGAGAGGCCAGGCCAGCAAGGACCUUCACUUCCUGCUCUGAGGCCAGAAGAGGCCAGGCACACCUGCAGUGCACCUGUCCAUGGACAUCACCAAGGAAACGAAGCAUGGAGGUCGGACCUGCUCCUCACUAAAGUUUCUUUCUCCUGUCAAACAGCAGCUCAAGGGCCACUGACCGCCUUCCCACAGCCCAGCCAAGCUGAUGGGAGAGCACACGAGCCCCAGGAAGGGCAGUGUGCAGUCCUUCCAGCCUGAAGCAAGCUGCAGAAGACAGAGACCUCCCCUCCCCACACUCCGUAAAGAUGCAUGGGACUUAGGUCUCUCUGGGGGAAAUGAUACAGAAGAGCGGGCGUGGCAAAACUGGGGGGGAGCAGGACCUGUCGAUCACAAGUCCUCAGGACACUGUUAGAUAACUCUCAGGCCGCAUGGAGAUCUCUCAGCUCCCUUAGUUCUAGAUGGCUUGAAAGAUCAGCUGCCUCCUCACACCACCAUAUCCAAGUCAGCAUUUGGAAAGAAUGGACACCCCACAAUAUCAGCAAAUCCUGUUUAAGGAGAACAGCCCAGUCGUUCCUUUGGGUCCUCACUGAGAACACUCUUCAGGACACUUUUGGUUUUGCGCAUAGAGAAGGCAAGGCAGUGUGUGAAUUUCUGUUUCCAAAAUAUCUUGGAAGAGAUAAUGGCCUGAGUUUUGAUCGGGGUUAUCAAAGCUCUCCACAGCAUGCAGUGAGGAGACCUGACCAUCUCAACAUGAGGACUUCUGAGAGUUCUCUGGUAACACUGAAGCCACCUUCUCCUCCUCUUAGAAUUUCUAGAGCAGGGUCAGUAGGAGCCCACGAAAGUGCUGGUUGUAUCUACUGGCUGUAAUCCUUCCUUACACAAUAGUCGGUGAGCUUAAUGUGUCCUUCUGAGUUCAAAAACACGCUGUGCAAUUUCAAGUUUCUAUACAGUAUCCAUCGCUCAUGAUAACUGAAAGCAAACUGAUUACUGCAGUACUCUGGAAUGUUCUUCAAGACUUAUACUUUGUUGCUGUAACAUUAGAACAUGAAACAUUAGAUUUCCUCCAUUUGCAUAGUCUUUAACAAGAAAUGGUCUGCUUCUGUCCAGAAUCAAGAAGGCAAGGAUGACUGAUGCCUGCUCCAAAGCAUGCUUCCCUGUCUGUACCUGGUCAGUGCUGACAAGCUCCUUUCAUUGCAUAAAUGCAAUUUGUCUUUUUCAACUGAACCAAGAGUACUCACUCCCACAUCAUUCCUCCUCCUAAUUCUUGAAGCAAAUCAAAGUCUUUAAAACUUAAUGAAACUCUGCCUCUCUCCCUGGGGUUUGCUGCCCUCUUUUUCCUCACCAGCGUGGUCCAAACUCUCAUGCCUUAAUAAUGAAGACUGACUGUCUAUGCAGGACCUGGAGGCAAGGAUGACUGAUCUGUCGGCAUCAUGGGUUCCAGUGGCAAAGAAUGCCGCUCACAUUCAAUGACAACAUUUGUGGCACUUCUUACAGUUGACAGACAGACUGUGGUCUGAGCUCCCAUUCAGUCUGUGUGGAUAGCCCAGUGCACAUGCCUGUUGAAAUGUUUGGCUAGGAAAGUAUGGCCCUCUGCAGAGAGAUGAAUUUCUUAUAGCUGAUGGAUUUAUCUUCACCUUGACCAGGUAUUUAGUGAUGUUCUAGUACACAAGGAGCUGUGUGAGAAUCCUUGUGUAGCUCAUAAAGCUUAAAGGCUUCUUCUAACCCUGUGAUACAGCACACUGAUCUUCCUCAUCUAUGCAUUUUGCGGUGAAAAGCUAUUCACUGUCAAAGAAUGCGUGUUUUAAACUCUAUUGCAAAGACCCUCGAAAGAGACAGAAGGUUCAAAAUGUAUUUUCUGGAUGUCUUUUCCCAUUACCAGGGCUUGUCCCCUGAAGGUGGAGCUCUCAGAGGUGCUCAUAAAGAAGGGACCACAGAAGGGCUAACGGACUGGGCGGGGGGAAGCUGACAUCAAGGGCUCCCCAAAGGAGGGCAGCCUGACCUCCUGCCCUGACCACACUGGCUAGAAUAGUGGCGGCUCAGCCAGGAUGGACGUAUACAGGCUUCUUGGUGUCUCUUGGGGUCUAGUAGCUGGGACUUUGGGCUCCCACCCUGGACUUUGGUGUCUCUGGGAUUUUGGUAGCUGGGUCUGAGAAAACCUGCAGACAGCUUGUGGGUGUCUCCGAGUGAUGGUCAGGCCUGGCAAGACUUGCCCUGGGCUUUUUUGCGUCACUAUGUUCUUGGUAAUUUGGCUUAGAGAAAAUGCAGUGGGUUCCUUUUUUCUGGGUGACUGGUGGUCUGUCUGGGGAGACUGGCCGUGGGCUGCUCCUGACAGGUGAGGAUUCGUACUGGGUGCCCUGAGGCAUCUGGAUGGAGUCAGUCAUCUUUACAGAUGCCUUUGCUGCGUGAGGUCCUGAGGCUGCCACCCCGACCUGGGGAAAAAGCAGCUCAGUGUGUUUGCUGCCGACUUUCUCUAGCCAAGUGAGUUUGGGAGGGUCGGCUGUCCCUAGAGAGCGAUGCCUGUUAACCAGGGCUCCAGGGUUUCUUUGGACCUGUGGCCAAGGAAGUGAAGUCAUGUCUUGGCUUUGUAAUGUGAGUCCUAUCUUGUUCUCUGUGCUAAACAAAUCAGUAGCUACUUCUUACUUUUACCUAAGUCUAUAGCUUUUGAUCAUCUUUCAGCAUAUCUGUCAUCUAUCUAAUUAUUAGUUUUUCACUCUUGCAGCCCUGGGGCUAGAACCCUGCAUCUUCACACUAAACUGCAUCCUCAGACUUUUUUUCAGAUACCCACUAAGGGUCUUCCUAAGUCACUAAAUUGGUCAGGUUGGCCUCUCGUCUGGGUCCCGCGGAACCCUGGGGUCACAGCCACAACCAUCUCUCCUGUUUCACCAUGCUGUUCAGAAGUAGCAAAAGAAAAAGCUAGGAAAGCUCUUAGUGAUGUUAGGUGUUAGGGUGGGCCACCGAGACUGGCCAGGUUUAAGCAACCUGAGAGGACUUCAUUACAGACUGGGUGCGGCCAGGCCAGGGUGGAAAGACCACUGGCCCCGAGCUGGGAACAAGAACACAUCUUCCAGGGGAGUGAGGUAGUGGAGGAAGCACUGCUGAAGAGGGCCUGGAAACUUUGGGCCAUUCUGGGGCUGGGACGGAGGGUAUCUCUGUGGCUUUUCUUUGGGACUAGCCAAUGGUGUGCGUCCCAUAAGUGUAGCUGUUUUUCUUGGAUUUGCAACUUUCUGCUAGCAGGUUUUCUUAUUGAGAAAUGUAGUAAGUGAGUAAGUAACUAACUUAGUUAGUUUGCUCUGCCAGGUUUCCUGUUGACAGACUUGGUAAGUGAGUUCCUUCCUUUCUGCUGUGUGGCCCAGUUUGCAGACCUGACAUCAGGCGUUGGCGAGGUUGUUUUAAAGCAGCACGCAUGUGUUGGCCACGUGCUGGCACAGUGCUGAGGGGCUUCCACACAGCAGUCAUCUUCUCCAAAGAUGCCGUGUGGGCUGAGAACUGUGGGACACUUUCCUUUCCUGAAAUGACCACAUCGUCAUUUCACUUAAGUAGAAAAUUUUAAGACAUUGUAGAAAUUUCUGCUACUGCAGAAAUCGAAAUGCUGGUUUCCAUUGCUACCUCUGGGUGGCGGGGAGAGAGCGGGUGAGGUGUGACAAAGCUGGCCGGGGAACAUACAGAACCUUAAGUGGGGUCAACCACAAGAUCCCAGGGCAGCACCAAAUGACUCCCAGGACCGCGUAUGUAGAACUUCUCAUGGGUUCCCACGAGGUGUGGCUGGCCUGAAAGAGCCAGGUACCAUGGAGAACCUGCUAUGGUGACCCCCACAGCAGGCCGCCUCGAGUCUCCUGGCCCAGGAGUUAUUUCUUGUUUGCUCUUCUCUUUUCCUCUUUUGUUCAGCCCAGGUUCAAUCUGCACCAGUUUCUCACUCACCCAUUCAUCCCAUGCUUUUCACAUAAACUUUGAGCAUCGUU
Long non-coding RNA from Cavia porcellus (domestic guinea pig), 5068 nucleotides. RefSeq lists it as uncharacterized. NCBI's taxonomy places the organism in Eukaryota, Metazoa, Chordata, Mammalia, Rodentia, Caviidae. The record is from RefSeq and is a predicted model, not a curated record. The transcript has 2 exons.